Molecule: ribosomal RNA, 429 nt
Filed under: bacterium
Lineage: Bacteria
Description: partial 16S ribosomal RNA
Rfam family: Bacterial small subunit ribosomal RNA
Source: RNAcentral
UAGGGAAUCUUCGGCAAUGGGGGCAACCCUGACCGAGCAACGCCGCGUGAGUGAAGAAGGUUUUCGGGUCGUAAAGCUCUGUUGUAAGAGAAGAACGUGUGUGAGAGUGGAAAGUUCACACAGUGACGGUAACUUACCAGAAAGGGACGGCUAACUACGUGCCAGCAGCCGCGGUAAUACGUAGGUCCCGAGCGUUGUCCGGAUUUAUUGGGGGUAAAGCGAGCGCAGGCGGUUUAAUAAGUCUGAAGUUAAAGGCAGUGGCUUAACCAUUGUUCGCUUUGGAAACUGUUAAACUUGAGUGCAGAAGGGGAGAGUGGAAUUCCAUGUGUAGCGGUGAAAUGCGUAGAUAUAUGGAGGAACACCGGUGGCGAAAGCGGCUCUCUGGUCUGUAACUGACGCUGAGGCUCGAAAGCGUGGGGAGCAAACAGG